Molecule: ribosomal RNA, 277 nt
Filed under: uncultured soil bacterium
Lineage: Bacteria
Description: partial 16S ribosomal RNA
Rfam family: Bacterial small subunit ribosomal RNA
Source: RNAcentral
AGAAUCAACGCUGGCGGCGUGCCUAACACAUGCAAGUCGAACGCGGUUACUUCUGCUUCGCAAGAAGUAGUGGUGACUGAGUGGCGAACGGGUGAGUAACACGUGGGUGACCUGCCUUCGAGUGGGGGAUAACGUUCCGAAAGGGACGCUAAUACCGCAUGAGAUCCUGCCUUUGAAGAGGCGGAGAUUGAAGCUGGGGAUCGUAAGACCUGGCGCUUGAAGAGGGCCCGCGUCCGAUUAGCUAGUUGGUGGGGUAACGGCCUACCAAGGCGACGAU